CAAGCAUCGUCCAUGGCGGAUCAGAGCAAGGGCGUCAAGCUGUACGGGACCUCGUUCAAUGGCCACACCACCAUGGUGGAAUGCGCCCUCAGGCUGAAGGGCGUGGCGUACGAGUACGUGGAGGAGGACCGCAAGAACAAGAGCGAGGCGCUUCUCAAGCUCAACCCCGUGCACAAGCAGGUGCCGGUUCUUGUGGUGGAUGGUAAGCCCAUAGCUGAGUCGCAAAUCAUCCUGCAGCACAUCGAUGAUGUGUGGAAGGACCCUCCCCAUCUCCCGGA
Molecule: long non-coding RNA, 278 nt
Filed under: Musa acuminata (dwarf banana)
Lineage: Eukaryota; Viridiplantae; Streptophyta; Magnoliopsida; Zingiberales; Musaceae
Description: long non-coding RNA (MACU_LNC000001)
Source: RNAcentral